GAUGAACGCUGGCGGCGUGCCUAAUACAUGCAAGUCGAGCGAACAGAUGAGGAGCUUGCUCCUCUGACGUUAGCGGCGGACGGGUGAGUAACACGUGGAUAACCUACCUAUAAGACUGGGAUAACUUCGGGAAACCGGAGCUAAUACCGGAUAAUAUAUUGAACCGCAUGGUUCAAUAGUGAAAGACGGUUUUGCUGUCACUUAUAGAUGGAUCCGCGCCGCAUUAGCUAGUUGGUAAGGUAACGGCUUACCAAGGCAACGAUGCGUAGCCGACCUGAGAGGGUGAUCGGCCACACUGGAACUGAGACACGGUCCAGACUCCUACGGGAGGCAGCAGUAGGGAAUCUUCCGCAAUGGGCGAAAGCCUGACGGAGCAACGCCGCGCGAGUGAUGAAGGUCUUCGGAUCGUAAAACUCUGUUAUUAGGGAAGAACAAAUGUGUAAGUAACUAUGCACGUCUUGACGGUACCUAAUCAGAAAGCCACAGCUAACUACGUG
This 497-nucleotide ribosomal RNA is filed under the name uncultured bacterium. RNAcentral describes it as "partial 16S ribosomal RNA". It matches the Rfam family "Bacterial small subunit ribosomal RNA", at positions 28 to 507 of the family's 1533-position model. The record is from RNAcentral.